RNAcentral lists this non-coding RNA (135 nucleotides) under Candidatus Parcubacteria bacterium. The record is from RNAcentral. Lineage: Bacteria; Candidatus Parcubacteria.
AAUGUUUUGUCUUCUUAUGAUAAAGUAAAAAUGAUUGGGGAAGCGAGGUGAAAAUCCUCCGCAGUGCCGCUACGGUAAUCCAUAGAAUAAACUUCUAUGGUAAGCCCGAAUGCCAAUUAUAAAUUGAAGCAUUUG